Molecule: long non-coding RNA, 563 nt
Filed under: Dasypus novemcinctus (nine-banded armadillo)
Lineage: Eukaryota; Metazoa; Chordata; Mammalia; Cingulata; Dasypodidae
Description: lncRNA (ENSDNOG00000052288.1)
Source: RNAcentral
AUGACUAUGUCCUGGAACCCUGGGGUAGAGGAAGCACCACUUUCAGUCCUGCUUCUUGGGAUUGUUGACGGCCACGUAGUGAUAGAGAACCACAAGCAAGAAGAGGACACGCCCAGCAUGUUGGCGAAGAUGGGGAGCUGCACAUCUGUGAUCAUCCUGACCAGCUCAGCUUGGACCGCCGCCGCCAGAGCACCAGCUCGAGGUGGGAACCCUGGACUGGGACUUCACUUUGCCAGCUGAAUAAGUUCUUUAUACAGUAAAUACAUGUUAUUUUUUCAUUUUUGCUAGCUUAAUUUACAAACUUUAAUAAUUCUCCCCUUUUUGCAGUUGUCAGAUUCAUGACUGAAUAAAGUUUAUUGAAACUAAAAAAAAAAAGAAUAUAUGAAGGUGAUCCUACAGUAACAUUAUAUACUAGUAGUUAUUAUUAGUUGAUAUUUAUGUAACUUAGUAUGCACCACAUUAGUAUGAACUGUCUCAUGUCCCAUUAUAACUAAAGUUAUUAAAAUCACAUUAAUUUUUUCUAACUAUAAAACAUAAAAUGGGAAGAUGGAGGAUUAGAGAGG